GCGAGGCGAAGAAAGUGGCGAGGCACGGCGGGCCACUCGGACUAUCAUCCUUCAUGCUGUACAGAUGGUGAGUGACAACUACAGUAUCCACCGGAAGCGAGCCGUUUGAUCGACCGGCUUAAUGAUUGUACUGAAAAGAAGGAAAGAAAAUACUGGUAAUCAUGCUGAACACUAGGAAACUGUCUUGGCUUUACCAUCUGGAACACCACCAUCCAUGGGUCUUCUCUCAAGUCAGAUUGCCUCUUUCCUACUGCAAGCUGAACUACAUCAUACAGAGAUAUAAGUCCUCAAAAGUUGUUAAGUCUAUCCAACAAGCAAAAAAGAUUGCUAUAGUUAAACCUAUGGCAAAGAAUGUUGACAAGGUAAUAAAUAAAGUAGUUAAGAGACCUCAGGAAAAUCAUAACUCAAGCAGAAUACUAAGGAAAAAUUCACCAGUUCUAUUAGAGAAAAAAUUUCCAGAAUCACCUAUUGAAACAGAAACACAAAAUACCAUCAAAGAAGAGAGUGAUCAUGUUCCAAAGAUAGAAAUUGCCUCAUUGAAUGAUGUUAUAGAGAAAGUUAUAGGGAAAAUCUAUCAUAAAAGUAAUGGAUCUUUAAGUUCCCAAAUAACUGAUAAUAACUUUGAUAAGUGUACAGGGAAGAUAGAUCAUGGAACUGAGAAAGCACACAAAGUAAAAAUUAUUAAGAAUAACAAGGUGGGGAAUGACAAAAAAAUUGGUGCCAGUAAAAGAAAGAUUUUUUUCUUUGAUAAAGAAAUAAAUAUUGAGCAAGAUGACUUGUUGGAUUAUGAUAAUCAUCAUCAUAAAGGAAAUCAUGAUAUUUCCAAAAACACAAAUGGCUCACUAUCAGCUGAACAUGUAAGUCUUUCGGUGGUAAAACAAGAUGUAAAUUCCUCAGCAGGAACCAUUAUGGACAUGAAUAUUGAUCUUGAUAAGACAGAGGCAUUGCAGAACAUUCGAAGAAAUUCUCUUGGCAUCCAAAUGUUGUCCAAAGCCAUCUUUGAUCAGUUAUUUAAAGAAGCUUCUGAAAAGGACAAUCAAAAUGCUGAAAAUCUUGAAAGAGCUAAGGAACAUUUACAAGCUCAUGGAUUGUGGGGUAAAACCUCCUCCUUCAUGGCUGAUGUGGAUUUCAAAUUGCCAAAGUUAGAAAGUAAUGAUUUAGACCAACAUUUCCGUGUCAUUGCCGAGGAUCAGUGUUUCCAUUACAAACAGUUGCUCAACAUGUUAAUAGGAGAAGAUCUUCCAAGCCCUCCAAACCAUUGGGAAUUCACCCCAGGAUGGACACGCUAUAACUUGGAUGGAAGUUGCUCCCCAGUUGAUUAUCCAGAAUGCUCUGCAUUAGUUUUUGAUGUAGAGGUUUGCAUUAAGGAAGGCAAUCAACCUACAUUAGCCACAGCUAUGUCAAACAAAUAUUGGUAUUCAUGGUGUUCUGAAGCUCUGACAAGCCCAGACCACCACAUUGAUAGAAAUGAGAUUAGUAUGAAAGAACUGAUUCCUCUUGAAAGUUCCAAAGAAGUCACACUCACAAAUGCACACUUACCUAAGUCGCCUCGGCUCGUUGUGGGCCAUAAUGUCAGUUUUGACCGCCUCCGAGUCCGUGAGCAAUACCUAUUGAAAGAAACGGCUCUUCGUUUUGUUGAUACCAUGUCUCUUCACAUUGCUGUGAGUGGCUUAGUUUCAGAACAGCGUGCUUUACUAAUGAAAAAUAAAAAUGAACCAAAAAUAAGGUUACCAUGGAUGUCUGUUGGUUGUCAAAACAGUCUUAAUGAUGUCUACAAGUUUUACUGUCAUCCUGAAAAGAGCCUUGAGAAAAGCACCAGAGAUGUUUUUGUUGAUGGUAACUUGAAUAAUAUAAGGGAAGACUUUCAGAACCUGAUGGCUUAUUGUGCUAGUGAUGUGAAUGCAACUCAUAAAGUUUUGGUCAAGCUGUUACCAUUGUUUUUUGAUCGUUUUCCUCAUCCAGUAACAUUUUCUGGGAUGCUGGAGAUGGGACUUACUUUUCUCCCUGUUACACAGAACUGGGAAAGAUAUAUAGAAGCCUCAGAAUUUCAUUACAAUCAGGUUGAAAGGAUGCUAAAUGAGGAACUUGUCAAGCAAGUUCAGGCAAGCCUUGGUUAUUUGAAAGAGGAAAAAUAUAAGAAUGACCCUUGGUUAUGGAGCCUUGAUUGGUCCCAACCAAAAGGUAAAGUGAAAAAACUGCCAGGCUACCCAAAUUGGUAUAGAAAGUUGUGUGCUCGGACUGGGGAGAGGGAGGGCACUCCAGAGCCUGAAAAUAUGAGCACCAGUUUGCAGAUUGUUCCAAAAAUACUCAAGUUAACCUGGGAUGGAUUUCCACUGCAUUAUGAAAGAAAAUUUGGUUGGGGUUACUUAAAACCCAUUUAUCAAUCCUUCAAGGAUAUACCUCAGUUGGAAUGGGAUUCUUAUCCUCUUGAUGCAAAUAAUGCACCAGUAUUUCCUGUAAAGAUUUUCUAUGAUGUAUUUGGUAGAAAGACUCAAGACGUAAAUGCAUCAGAAGUCAUUGUAUGUGAUGAAAGUAGAGAUGAUUGGACACAGUAUUUUGAAGAAUUAAAUUGUGUAAGUGAAGAUUCAAGAAAAAGGAAGAGAGGCAUAAGUGAUGAAGAUGACAACUUAAAGAACAUAGGCAUUCCUGGAGUAGGAUUUAUCCCUCUUCCUCACAAGGAUGGUGCAGGAUGUCGUGUUGGCAACCCUCUAGCCAAGGACUUCCUAAGCAAGAUAGAAGAUAACACAUUAACAAGUCAUGUGGGAGAUAUGGCUAAACUUGUAUUAGAGACCAGCAAAUCAUUAUCAUACUGGAAGAACAACAGAGACCGUAUACUUUCUCAAAUGGUAGUUUGGAGCAAUCAUUCGUCUCUUCCUCAUGUGGUCACUUCAUCUGAUGGGUAUACAAAAGACAGUAAGUAUGGGGUGAUAUUGCCCAUGGUGAUCAGUGCUGGGACCAUCACUAGGAGGGCAGUAGAGCGCACCUGGAUGACCGCCUCAAAUGCCUACACAGAUCGAAUUGGAUCAGAACUUAAAGCCAUGGUUGAGGCUCCCCCUGGAUACAAAUUUGUUGGUGCUGAUGUAGACUCUCAGGAACUCUGGAUUGCAGCUCUGCUUGGAGAUGCUUAUUUCACAGGAGAGCAUGGUGCUACUGCUCUAGGCUGGAUGACACUGCAAGGAAAAAAGAGUGAUGGAACAGACAUGCACAGCCACACUGCUCACAGUGCUGGGAUAUCCCGAGAUCAUGCCAAGGUUAUUAAUUAUGGAAGAAUUUAUGGUGCUGGGUUGCGAUUCAUCCAGAGAUUGCUGAAGCAAUACAAUCCAAAAUUGACUGACGCUGAAACUAGAAGGCAAGCAGAGCACUUGUUUGCUGUCACCAAGGGAAAAAAGGGCUGGUACCUUAAUGAGGCUGGUGAGAACCUUGCUUCAGAGUUGGGUCACCAUGUCAUUGAAGAGCCCUUGCCUAGAAAGAAGAUUAUGAAGAUUUUACGGGAAGCAUAUGAAAACAAUUAUGAAGCCACAUUUUCUGACAUAGUGGAAAACCCCCCGGUAUGGGUAGGUGGCUCAGAAUCUCACAUGUUCAACUGCCUAGAGGCUAUUGCUCGAUGUCCAGAGCCUAAGACUCCAGUACUGGGUGCUCGCAUAACACGGGCUCUUGAACCACAAUGGGUUGAUGACCAGUUCAUGAUGAGCAGAGUGAACUGGGUUGUACAGAGUUCAGCUGUGGAUUACCUGCACAUUAUGCUGGUGUGUAUGCGGUGGUUGUUCACAAAGUACAGCAUCUCAGGUCGUUUCUGCAUCAGCAUUCACGAUGAGGUACGAUAUUUGGUAGCUGAAGAAGACUGUUACAGAGCAGCCCUAGCUCUCCAGAUCACCAACCUUCUUACACGGGCAUACUUUGCCACAAGGCUGGGAUUCAAAGACUUGCCACAGUCAGUUGCUUUCUUUAGUGGUGUGGACAUUGACCAAGUGCUGAGGAAAGAACCCCACCUAGACUGUGUUACCCCAUCCAACCCUCAAGGCUUAAUGAAAGGCUACAACAUAAAACCAGGGACCACUUUGGAUAUACAUGCAAUAAUGGAUAAGACAGAUGGAAAGUUGGCAAAGCUUGACCUUGAAUGUUGUGAAGAAAUGAUUAAGACUGAUUAAUCAAGGAGCAGCAGGAACACCAGGCAGUUGUCAUGAAGCUGAGUUGCUGUUUCAAAGGCCUGGCUCAGGAGCAAUCCUGAACCACCUGUAGCAUCAAGAUCGAGAUCUACAUCAUGCAAACUGAAUUGCAAUGGCUGACCACCCUCAGCAUCCCACCCAGACCCUUGUCACAAGUGCACCCACCUCACCUUAGACAAGACUCUAGAAGUAAUACAAAGGAUUGAAGACAGGAGAGAAGACAGUGAAAGGGAGAGCAUUUAAGGUAAACCAGUCAACCAUACAAAAAAAAAGGGGUCUUAGGGUUGGGAUGCAGAAGAGAAUAAGAGGUUUCAAGAGUCCUAAAACAAUAUUUCUCUAAUGCGAUGGCCUUGCAGAUGAAAAUUAUCACAUUUGAAAAGGAACAGCCAUAUAACAAGGUUGGUUAAUUUAUGUUAAAUUUGUAACAUAAACAUUUGACACUGAAUGGAUUGUGGAAAAUGAACAUCAAGUUAGCCACUAUCUCAGACAUAGGCAGCCAACAUCUCAUCCCCCUUAGAAAAGUUUUCAGUCAUCAAACUAUGAAGUUAGACUGUAUGUCAGUCCAAGUCUAAAGCAUGUGUAGCUGUGAAACAUGAGGAUUUAUUAAUGAUGAUGUCCAUUCCAAUGGACAACCUGUUCUGGGCACUAUAAUAUCACCUGAGUCCAGAACUCCCAACUAAAAUACAAGAACUAGAGUUAUGAUGGUAAAUAUUACAAUAAAGACAAUAGACUGC
This is an RNA transcript of Scylla paramamosain (green mud crab), 4900 nucleotides long. It is a transcript of the gene named DNA polymerase subunit gamma-1-like, with no coding region annotated. Lineage: Eukaryota; Metazoa; Arthropoda; Malacostraca; Decapoda; Portunidae. The transcript has 12 exons. The record is from RefSeq and is a predicted model, not a curated record.